RNAcentral lists this long non-coding RNA (243 nucleotides) under Helianthus annuus (common sunflower). RNAcentral's name for it is "sRNA HanXRQr2_Chr16g0729141". Lineage: Eukaryota; Viridiplantae; Streptophyta; Magnoliopsida; Asterales; Asteraceae. The record is from RNAcentral.
AUGUGUGGUCUUAACUACACAUCUAAUUGUGAGCUCAUGGUUAAAGAUUAAGGUGUGUUCGGUUCGAGGCUUGAUCGCAAAUCCGGACACUCGCGUCUGAAGAUGACGAGAGUUGAACAAAUUGCGGAUAUGAUGAUGGAACGGUCCGAGAUGUGACAAGAAGAGCAUACUCAUCAAGGACCUAAAUCGCGUAACGAUCGCAAAUAAGUAAUGGCAAGGAAUGCCCGUCGGGGCAAGCAUUAC